CAGCAGCCGCGGUAUACGUAGGCUGCAAGCGUUGUCCGGAAUUAUUGGGCGUAAAGAGCUCGUAGCGGUCUGUCGCGUCUGCUGUGAAAUCCCGAGGCUCAACCUCGGGCUUGCAGUGGGUACGGGCAGACUAAGUGCGGUAGGGAGAAUGGAAUUCCUGGUGUACGGUGGAAUGCGCAGAUAUCAGGAGGAACACCGAUGGCGAAGGCAGUUCUCUGGGCCGUAACUGACGCUGAGGAGCGAAAGCGUGGGGAGCGAACAGGAUUAGAUACCCUGGUAGUCAAGGGCG
RNAcentral lists this ribosomal RNA (289 nucleotides) under uncultured Actinomycetales bacterium. RNAcentral's name for it is "partial 16S ribosomal RNA". It matches the Rfam family "Bacterial small subunit ribosomal RNA", at positions 509 to 802 of the family's 1533-position model. The record is from RNAcentral. Lineage: Bacteria; Bacillati; Actinomycetota; Actinomycetes; Actinomycetales.